RNAcentral lists this ribosomal RNA (434 nucleotides) under uncultured bacterium. RNAcentral describes it as "partial 16S ribosomal RNA". It matches the Rfam family "Bacterial small subunit ribosomal RNA", at positions 29 to 507 of the family's 1533-position model. The record is from RNAcentral.
AGCGAACGCUGGCGGCAGGCCUAACACAUGCAAGUCGAACGAACCUUUCGGGGUUAGUGGCGGACGGGUGAGUAACACGUGGGAACGUGCCUUUAGGUUCGGAAUAACUCAGGGAAACUUGUGCUAAUACCGAAUGUGCCCUUCGGGGGAAAGAUUAAUCGCCUUUAGAGCGGCCCGCGUCUGAUUAGCUAGUUGGUUGAGGUAAUGGCUCACCAAGGCGACGAUCAGUAGCUGGUCUGAGCGGAUGAUCAGCCACAUUGGGACUGAGACACGGCCCAAACUCCUACGGGAGGCAGCAGUAGGGAAUCUUGCGCAAUGGGCGAAAGCCUGACGCAGCCAUGCCGCGUGAAUGAUGAAGGUCUUAGGAUUGUAAAAUUCUUUCACCGGGGACGAUAAUGACGGUACCCGGAGAAGAAGCCCCGGCUAACUUCGUG